Molecule: transfer RNA, 73 nt
Filed under: Gnathotrichus materiarius
Lineage: Eukaryota; Metazoa; Arthropoda; Insecta; Coleoptera; Curculionidae
Description: tRNA-Lys
Source: RNAcentral
CAUUAGAUGGCUGAAAGCAAGCACUGGUCUCUUAAACCACCCCAUAGUAGCCUAUAGCACCUACUUCUAAUGA